AAGCCUCUUUGUGAUCUCUCCCAUUUUUUUUUCUUUGAUAACCGUAGUGUCUAGGCCAGUUUGUGCGCGCCUCGACUAAUUCCAUGAGAUACUUACCACCUCGCACUAGCAACAGGUACCAGGUAACUCUAUCCACCAAGGCUAGGACAGAUGGAAAGAAAUCACAGAGUGUUUAUUGUCUCAGUUUGGAUUUGAAAUUGAAACCUCAUGGUUCUUAACCCACCUCAUUGACCACUAGGCCACAGCUUGGUUGCUUCUCCAAUAUUUAGAUAUCAUGUCUAAUUAUUGGAUUGUCUUCCCAUGUAUCAAAUUAGAACUUCAGCCUAUACAACUGAAGAUCCAGACACAGAACAGACAAUAAAGAUGGCAAUCAUGCACCUGCUUGUAAAUUUCAAAGAAAUAUAGCAGGCAUAAUUCUUUUUGGUGCAGAAGUUUCUUGUGGCCAAAAGUAACAUGUACCAAUAUGAGUUUAUGCUUCAAAUUGGAGAUAUGCACAACUUUAUGCCCUUUAUGGUGUUUCAAGUUGUUCAGGCGUGUUUACCACAAUGUUUUUCUACUUAAU
This is a long non-coding RNA of Capsicum annuum, 562 nucleotides long. RefSeq lists it as uncharacterized. The record is from RefSeq and is a predicted model, not a curated record. The transcript has 2 exons. Lineage: Eukaryota; Viridiplantae; Streptophyta; Magnoliopsida; Solanales; Solanaceae.